CUCCUACAAGGGCUUGGGU
RNAcentral lists this non-coding RNA (19 nucleotides) under Mus musculus (house mouse). The record is from RNAcentral. Lineage: Eukaryota; Metazoa; Chordata; Mammalia; Rodentia; Muridae.